UGGGGGAUAUUGCACAAUGGGCGAAAGCCUGAUGCAGCGACGCCGCGUGGGGGAUGAAGGCCUUCGGGUUGUAAACUUCUUUUGCUCUGAACAAGGCAUGCCUUUGGGGUGUGUUGAGUGUAGGGGUUGAUUAGCGCCGGCUAACUACGUGCCAGCAGCCGCGGUAAUACGUAGGGCGCGAGCGUUGUCCGGAAUUAUUGGGCGUAAAGGGCUUGUAGGUGGCUGGUUGCGUCUGUCGUGAAAGCUCAUGGCUUAACUGUGGGUUUGCGUUGGGUACGGGCUGGCUUGAGUGCAGUAGGGGGGGGUGGAAUUCCUGGUGUAGCGGUGGAAUGCGCAGAUAUCAGGAGGAAUACCGGUGGCGAAGGCGGGUCUCUGGGCUGUUACUGACGCUGAGGAGCGAAAGCGUGGGGAGCGAACAGG
RNAcentral lists this ribosomal RNA (420 nucleotides) under Fusobacteriota bacterium. RNAcentral's name for it is "Fusobacteria bacterium partial 16S ribosomal RNA". It matches the Rfam family "Bacterial small subunit ribosomal RNA", at positions 355 to 776 of the family's 1533-position model. The record is from RNAcentral. Lineage: Bacteria; Fusobacteriati; Fusobacteriota.